RNAcentral lists this ribosomal RNA (432 nucleotides) under uncultured bacterium. Its description in RNAcentral is "partial 16S ribosomal RNA". It matches the Rfam family "Bacterial small subunit ribosomal RNA", at positions 338 to 795 of the family's 1533-position model. The record is from RNAcentral.
CCUACGGGAGGCAGCAGUGGGGAAUCUUGCGCAAUGGGCGAAAGCCUGACGCAGCGACGCCGUGUGUGCGAUGAAGGUUUUCGGAUCGUAAAGCACUGUCGCCCGGAAGAUGGUACCGGGAGAGGAAGCACCGGCUAACUCUGUGCCAGCAGCCGCGGUAAUACAGAGGGUGCGAGCGUUGUUCGGAAUUAUUGGGCGUAAAGCGCUGGUAGGUGGCUUGUUAAGUCGCGUGUGAAAUCUCCAGGCUCAACCUGGAAAGUGCGCGCGAAACUGGCGAGCUUGAGUGCCGGAGAGGGUCGCGGAAUUCCCAGUGUAGAGGUGAAAUUCGUAGAUAUUGGGAGGAACACCAGAGGCGAAGGCGGCGACCUGGAAGGUACUGACACUGAGCAGCGAAAGCGUGGGGAGCAAACAGGAUUAGAUACCCUUGUAGUC